Molecule: ribosomal RNA, 482 nt
Filed under: uncultured bacterium
Lineage: Bacteria
Description: bacterial SSU rRNA
Rfam family: Bacterial small subunit ribosomal RNA
Source: RNAcentral
UUGAACGCUGGCGGCAUGCUUUACACAUGCAAGUCGAACGGCAGCGGGGGCUUCGGCCCGCCGGCGAGUGGCGAACGGGUGAGUAAUGCAUCGGAACGUACCCAGUCGUGUGGGAUAACUACGCGAAAGCGUAGCUAAUACCGCAUACGCCCUGAGGGGGAAAGCGGGGGACCUUCGGGCCUCGCGCGAUUGGAGCGGCUGAUGUCGGAUUAGCUAGUUGGUGGGGUAAAGGCCUACCAGGGCGACGAUCUGUAGCGGGUCUGAGAGGAUGAUCCGCCACACUGGGACUGAGACACGGCCCAGACUCCUACGGGAGGCAGCAGUGGGGAAUUUUGGACAAUGGGCGCAAGCCUGAUCCAGCCAUGCCGCGUGCGGGACGAAGGCCUUCGGGUUGUAAACCGCUUUCAGCCGGAAAGAAAUCGUCAAGGCUAAUAUCCUUGAUGGAUGACGGUACCGGAAGAAGAAGCACCGGCUAACUACGU